AAAUGUGCACUCCGAAACCUCAUACCCCUGCUGCAUCUAUUGUAGUCCAGCAUUAAGGGAGAACUUAGUUCUUCUGCUGUGACUAUGUUUUUAUACACUCUUAUAAUUUAUAGAAUGUCCAUAGACCAUAACAAGUCUAAAAACAUAAUAUAACUUUCAACAACGGAUCUCUUGGUUCUCGCAUCGAUGAAGAACGCAGCGAAUUGCGAUAUGUAAUGUGAAUUGCAGAAUUCAGUGAAUCAUCGAAUCUUUGAACGCACAUUGCACCCUCUGGUAUUCCGGAGGGUAUGCCUGUUUGAGUGUCAUUAAUCUCUCAACUCAAUCAAGUUUAUUCUUGUAUUGAGCUUGGAUCUUGAAGGUUGCUGGUGUAAUAAUCAGCUCCUUUAAAAUAUAUUAGUGGAACUAUGAAGGACCAGCCUCGGUUUGAUAAUCCUAUCUAUGCUGUCGCUGAGAAUUAUUUGAUCUGCUUAUAAUAGUCCUUUAGGACUGUCUCUUAUGAGGCAUACAUUUGACUCUUGACCUCAAAUCAGGUAGGACUACCCGCUGAACUUAAGCAUAUCAAUAAGCGGAGGAAAAGAAACUAACAAGGAUUCCCCUAGUAACUGCGAGUGAAGAGGGAAAAGCUCAAAUUUAAAAUCUGGCAGCCCUUGGUUGUCCGAGU
RNAcentral lists this ribosomal RNA (661 nucleotides) under uncultured fungus. RNAcentral describes it as "eukaryotic LSU rRNA". The stretch from base 152 to 305 matches the Rfam family "5.8S ribosomal RNA". Lineage: Eukaryota; Fungi. The record is from RNAcentral.